Molecule: ribosomal RNA, 274 nt
Filed under: uncultured bacterium
Lineage: Bacteria
Description: partial 16S ribosomal RNA
Rfam family: Bacterial small subunit ribosomal RNA
Source: RNAcentral
CUCCGCCGGCGACCGGCGCACGGGUGAGUAACACGUAUGCGACCUGCCCCCGCAGGGGGAUAACCGGGAGAAAUCCCGACUAAUACCGCGUAACGCCGCGGACCUGCAUGGGUCUGCGGUCAAAGGAAGCGAUUCCGGCGGGGGAUGGGCAUGCGGCGCAUUAGCUAGUCGGCGGGGUAACGGCCCACCGAGGCGACGAUGCGUAGGGGUUCUGAGAGGAAGGUCCCCCACACUGGUACUGAGACACGGACCAGACUCCUACGGGAGGCAGCAG